AUUGUUUAUGGCUGUCAUCUGAUUAUAUUCGAAGUAUUUCGUGAUUAAUUUAUUAAACAUUUUUAAUUAAACAACAAUUAAUGCGAAACAUACUUCGCACCGUUAUAAGGGCAAAGUUGUAUGUGUGAAGUUAGAAAGGUAAAGGAUAAGAUAUAGGAUAAUUCAGUUUAUUAUUUACGGAAAUUAAUGACAGAUCUUUGCUACCGAAAAACGAUUCUAAA
Non-coding RNA from Cinara cedri, 221 nucleotides. Lineage: Eukaryota; Metazoa; Arthropoda; Insecta; Hemiptera; Aphididae. The record is from the annotation of a GenBank genome assembly.